This 661-nucleotide ribosomal RNA is filed under the name Staphylococcus aureus. RNAcentral's name for it is "partial 23S ribosomal RNA". It matches the Rfam family "Bacterial large subunit ribosomal RNA", at positions 1 to 657 of the family's 2925-position model. Lineage: Bacteria; Bacillati; Bacillota; Bacilli; Caryophanales; Staphylococcaceae. The record is from RNAcentral.
AGAUUAAGUUAUUAAGGGCGCACGGUGGAUGCCUUGGCACUAGAAGCCGAUGAAGGACGUUACUAACGACGAUAUGCUUUGGGGAGCUGUAAGUAAGCUUUGAUCCAGAGAUUUCCGAAUGGGGAAACCCAGCAUGAGUUAUGUCAUGUUAUCGAUAUGUGAAUACAUAGCAUAUCAGAAGGCACACCCGGAGAACUGAAACAUCUUAGUACCCGGAGGAAGAGAAAGAAAAUUCGAUUCCCUUAGUAGCGGCGAGCGAAACGGGAAGAGCCCAAACCAACAAGCUUGCUUGUUGGGGUUGUAGGACACUCUAUACGGAGUUACAAAGGACGACAUUAGACGAAUCAUCUGGAAAGAUGAAUCAAAGAAGGUAAUAAUCCUGUAGUCGAAAAUGUUGUCUCUCUUGAGUGGAUCCUGAGUACGACGGAGCACGUGAAAUUCCGUCGGAAUCUGGGAGGACCAUCUCCUAAGGCUAAAUACUCUCUAGUGACCGAUAGUGAACCAGUACCGUGAGGGAAAGGUGAAAAGCACCCCGGAAGGGGAGUGAAAUAGAACCUGAAACCGUGUGCUUACAAGUAGUCAGAGCCCGUUAAUGGGUGAUGGCGUGCCUUUUGUAGAAUGAACCGGCGAGUUACGAUUUGAUGCAAGGUUAAGCAGUAAA